CGCCGCCACCUCCUCCGCCUUACUACUACAAAUCUCCGCCUCCGCCUCCUCCCUACAAGUAUGAAUCGCCGCCUCCGCCUCCCUACAAGUACGAGUCGCCGCCUCCACCACCGUACUACUACAAAUCACCUCCGCCGCCCCCAUACAAGUAUGAAUCGCCGCCGCCACCACCAUACAAGUAUGAAUCGCCGCCGCCACCACCAUACAAGUAUGAAUCGCCUCCUCCACCACCAUAUAAGUACGAAUCGCCACCGCCACCACCAUACAAGUACGAGUCGCCUCCUCCACCUCCGUACAAGUAUGAAUCGCCUCCUCCCCCACCAUACUACUACAAAUCACCACCACCACCUCCUUACAAGUAUGAAUCUCCCCCUCCACCUCCAUAUUACUACAAAUCUCCACCCCCGCCACCACCUUACUACUACAAAUCACCACCACCACCUUCUCCUGUCUACAAAUAUAAAUCUCCACCACCACCACCUUACAAGUACGAAUCUCCUCCUCCACCUCCAUACUAUUACAAGUCUCCACCACCACCGCCGUAUUACUACAAGUCUCCACCACCACCACCUCCAGUUUACAAAUACAAAUCUCCUCCUCCGCCACCAUAUUACUACAAAUCACCACCUCCUCCAUCACCAGUAUAUUACUACAAAUCUCCUCCUCCACCAGCGUAUUACUACAAAUCUCCCCCACCGCCUGUCUACUAUUACAAAUCCCCGCCACCUCCAGCUUACCACUACCAAUCGCCACCCCCACCAAGUUACAAGCUGGUAGUGGUCACGGGCAAGGUCUAUUGCAACAGAUGCUGGAACACCACAAGCAGAUACCUUCAGGCAUCACCACAUGGGUCUGCUAGGUACAUUCUCAAUUGCAUUGUAUUCGAUAUUGUUCUCCUCACUCAUUUCCUCUUGAUACUGUGUGCAAUAAUGCAGGUGGCAAAGUGAAGAUCACAUGUGGCGAAUCUUACUACUACGGCUACACCAACAAGCAUGGAAUCUUUAGAAUUGAGCUCCCGCACCAAUCCUGGGAAGAAGCAAGCAGCUGCAAGGCCAAGAUUAUCAAGAGCAGCUACAUCAAGUCGUCAUGCAAUGUCAUCACGGACUACAGGUCUGGUGCAACAGGGGCCAAGCUCAAGUUCAAAUCGAAAACAGAGAAGGAGCUCGUCUUGACAGCCGGUCCUUUCAUCUAUGCAACUCCAGAGCCAUCGUCAGUCUGCUUCUACACAUCACCUCCCUAUGAGUACAAGUCACCUCCGCCACCAACACCGGUCUACCAUUACGCCUCUCCGCCACCUCCGGUCUACUACUACAAAUCGCCACCUCCUCCUUCACCGGUUUACUACUACAAAUCCCCUCCUCCUCCUUCGCCGGUCUACUAUUACAAAUCCCCGCCUCCACCACCAUACUAUUACAAGUCCCCACCUCCACCUCCGCCUAAGUAUUACUACAAGUCGCCCCCACCACCGUCUCCAUACUAUUACAAAUCCCCGCCCCCUCCACCGUACUAUUACAAAUCCCCACCACCACCUCCCUACAAAUACGAAUCGCCGCCGCCUCCUCCUUACAAAUACGAGUCCCCACCUCCACCACCUUACUAUUACAAGUCCCCACCACCACCUCCAUACAAAUAUGAAUCCCCGCCACCUCCAGUCUACAAAUAUGAGUCUCCGCCACCCCCAGUUUACAAAUACAAGUCGCCACCACCACCAUACAAGUACGAGUCACCACCACCACCUCCAUACAAGUAUGAAUCCCCGCCACCUCCACCUUAUUACUACAAGUCCCCUCCACCACCACCAUACAAGUACGAGUCGCCACCACCUCCUCCGUACAAGUAUGAAUCUCCACCACCACCAGUUUACAAAUACAAGUCACCUCCGCCGCCACCUUAUUACUACAAAUCCCCACCGCCACCUCCAUACAAGUACGAGUCUCCACCUCCUCCUCCGUACAAGUAUGAAUCUCCACCACCACCACCUUAUUACUACAAAUCCCCCCCGCCACCUCCAUACAAGUACGAGUCACCGCCUCCUCCUCCGUACAAGUAUGAAUCUCCACCACCGCCAGUUUACAAAUACAAGUCACCCCCGCCACCACCUUAUUACUACAAAUCCCCGCCACCACCUCCAUACAAGUACGAGUCUCCACCUCCUCCUCCGUACAAGUAUGAAUCUCCACCACCACCUCCUUAUUACUACAAAUCCCCGCCGCCACCUCCCUACAAGUAUGAAUCCCCGCCACCACCUCCCUACAAAUACGAGUCACCUCCACCACCACCUUACUAUUACAAAUCUCCUCCACCGCCUCCAUACAAGUAUGAGUCGCCACCACCACCAGUCUACAAAUACGAGUCUCCGCCACCCCCAGUUUACAAAUACAAGUCGCCCCCUCCACCUUAUUACUACAAGUCUCCGCCACCCCCGCCAUACAAAUAUGAAUCCCCACCUCCACCUCCCUACAAGUAUGAAUCGCCUCCUCCUCCACCUUACUACUACAAGUCCCCUCCACCACCUCCCUACAAAUAUGAAUCCCCGCCACCACCUCCCUAUAAAUACGAGUCACCACCACCACCACCUUACUAUUACAAAUCUCCUCCACCGCCUCCAUACAAGUAUGAGUCGCCACCACCACCUCCCUACAAAUACGAGUCACCACCACCACCACCUUACAAGUAUGAAUCCCCACCUCCACCUCCGUACAAGUAUGAAUCACCUCCACCGCCUCCAUACAAGUAUGAAUCCCCUCCUCCACCUCCCUACAAAUACGAGUCACCACCCCCACCACCUUAUUACUACAAAUCGCCUCCGCCACCGGAGUAUCAAUCAC
This 2828-nucleotide long non-coding RNA is filed under the name Selaginella moellendorffii. RNAcentral's name for it is "long non-coding RNA (SMOE_LNC002368)". The record is from RNAcentral. Lineage: Eukaryota; Viridiplantae; Streptophyta; Lycopodiopsida; Selaginellales; Selaginellaceae.